UGGUGGGUUGCCUUGUCAGGUUGAUUCCGGUAACGAACGAGACCUCAGCCUGCUAAAUAGUCACGUUCGGCUUCUGCCGGACGGCUGCGCUUCUUAGAGGGACUAUCGGCGACUAGCCGAUGGAAGUGUGAGGCAAUAACA
RNAcentral lists this ribosomal RNA (141 nucleotides) under uncultured eukaryote. RNAcentral's name for it is "partial 18S ribosomal RNA". It matches the Rfam family "Eukaryotic small subunit ribosomal RNA", at positions 1299 to 1458 of the family's 1831-position model. The record is from RNAcentral.